Molecule: ribosomal RNA, 198 nt
Filed under: uncultured bacterium
Lineage: Bacteria
Description: partial 16S ribosomal RNA
Rfam family: Bacterial small subunit ribosomal RNA
Source: RNAcentral
GUCUGCAACUCGCCUGCAUGAAGCUGGAAUUGCUAGUAAUCGCGGAUCAGCAAGCCGCGGUGAAUACGUUCCCGGGCCUUGUACACACCGCCCGUCACACCAUGAGAGUCGGGAACACCCGAAGUCCGUAGUCUAACCGCAAGGGGGGCGCGGCCGAAGGUGGGUCCGGUAAUUGGGGUGAAGUCGUAACAAGGUAGC